Molecule: long non-coding RNA, 1146 nt
Organism: Carassius gibelio (silver crucian carp)
Lineage: Eukaryota; Metazoa; Chordata; Actinopteri; Cypriniformes; Cyprinidae
Exons: 3
Source: RefSeq, a predicted model, not a curated record
GGCUUUAGAUUAGUCACGCUUGUUAAAGUCACGUGCUCGUGACUGAAUUCACCGCGUUCACGGAGUCUCUCGUCUUAAACAACAAAUAGUGUUUUAGCGACGUAAGUAUUACAUUUCGCUGCUUCAGUAAUUGUAAGUGGAGUUUUUGCAUUUCUUCUGCUAGCUAGAUUAUGGUCAUGGACCGACAUUAUGUCUGUGUAGUCAGCUAAUAACGUUUUGUUUCUCCAAGCGCUUGUAUGUGUAAGUUAAUGUUAUUCUGUUACUUGCGAUUAAUAUAUCAAGAGGAAUAAUCGAAAAUGAUUUCUGUCAUAAAUAAGUUGUCACCCUGACCGUGUACUAAAUAUUUUGUUUUCUUUGUAGCAUUUUAACCUUUUUUGUCUUUGCUGAAUUGCCCAUAAACAAGACCUCUGUAACUUAUGUCUUCAGAUAAAUGAUGAAUUUCAUCGGAUCACAACCCUUCCUUUACACUCCAAAAUUCAUGUUCAAACUGGAUCUGUUCUCUGAUGAUCUGCUAAAAGUGUUUACCAAAAAGGGUGGAGUGUUUAGAAAAAAGAUUCAAGAUGUGAUGCUGCCAAUGUCUCAGACCAAGCAAGAGUGCAUUCUCAAGGGGCUAUGCAUCUACCUGAAUGAAGAUGGAUAUGAUGGAGUAUUUGGAUGAUGACCCUGCAAGAACCGAAGCGGACAUAAAGAAGACCUUUUAGGGAUUCUGUGAUGUAAAGCAUGAAUUUGCUGAUGCAACAGAAGACCCUGAAGAUAUCUGCAUUGUGCUGGAAGAUGUGGAGGUGCUUUCUGGUUUAGGUAAUGUAGCAUUGGCUGCAGCCAUGCUACUUGGACUAAUAUACUCUUUAAAUCUUACUCAUCCACAGGAGAUCCAUUACACUUUUAAGGUGCUCCAAAAAUGAUUCUCGAGCUGAACUUGUGUAUAUUGUCUGCCAAAGCACAGGCGCAGAAAACAAAACUCUUCACUUAGGUGUGCUGUGUUUGAGGAUCCCUUUGUGAAUGCUGUGUUUUAUUUCCUUGUAUGCUCAUGUGAUUUUGUUGUAUCUGAAUUUUUGCACGAUGAGCAGAGGUGAUUACGUCUCUCAAUCACAUUUAAUAUCAUGUUUAAGAAAACAAAAUAAAAUAACAUUUUGUUAUAUUCUUAUA